CGCACGGUAAACGAUGGAUGCCCGCUGUUGACCCACCUGGGCCAGCGGCCAAGCGAAAGCAUUAAGCAUCCCACCUGGGGAGUACNGAUACGCGAGGAACCUUACCCGGGCUUGAAUUGCAGAGGAAAGAUCCAGAGAUGGUGAUGCCCUUCGGGGCCUCUGUGAAGGUGC
RNAcentral lists this ribosomal RNA (171 nucleotides) under uncultured bacterium. RNAcentral's name for it is "partial 16S ribosomal RNA". The record is from RNAcentral.